Molecule: ribosomal RNA, 155 nt
Filed under: Cactodera estonica
Lineage: Eukaryota; Metazoa; Nematoda; Chromadorea; Rhabditida; Heteroderidae
Description: partial 18S ribosomal RNA
Rfam family: Eukaryotic small subunit ribosomal RNA
Source: RNAcentral
GCUCGGCGCGCGAGGGACUGAGCCAUUUCGAGAAACUCGGGGACGAUUGUGCGCGUCGGCUUCGGUCGUCACGUUGAUUGGAACCGAUUUAAUCGCAGUGGCUUGAACCGGGCAAAAGUCGUAACAAGGUAGCUGUAGGUGAACCUGCUGCUGGA